This 348-nucleotide unclassified non-coding RNA is filed under the name Hevea brasiliensis (rubber tree). The record is from RNAcentral. Lineage: Eukaryota; Viridiplantae; Streptophyta; Magnoliopsida; Malpighiales; Euphorbiaceae.
AAAUCGAUUUUCACUGAUUUGAAAUUGAAUAUUCGGUUUCAAAUCUCUUUUUUUCUUGUAGUGGUAGUUUUAGAGCCAAUGACAAGUUUGGAAGAGAUUUGGAGCUCAAAAAGUGAAAAAUGAAAAGCCAGAAGAAUUACAUGGGUGUAUAAGUUACCCCAUGUAACUUUUCAAACCCUGUACAACCUUCUAGAUAGAAGAAAACUUAAGAAACAAAGCUACAAAAAAUUACACAAGGUACCCUGUGUAACACUACAUGGCUUGUGUAAUGUUCCCAAAAAGCAAUUCUAACUUGACUUUGCUUCCUUCUAACUUGACUUUGCUUCCUUCUAACUUGACUUUGCUUCC